AGCUCGUAGUUGGAUUUUGGGUCGGGGGCACCGGUCCGCCGUUCCGGUGUGCACUGGUGGCCCCUUCCUUUCUGCCGGGGACGUGCGUCGCACUUAAUUGGGUGGCGUUCGGAGUCGGCGUUGUUACUUUGAAAAAAUUAGAGUGUUCAAAGCAAGCCAUCGCUCUGAAUACAUUAGCAUGGAAUAACAUGAUAGGACUCUGGUCUUAUUUUGUUGGUUUCCGAGACUGGAGUAAUGAUUAAGAGGGACAGUCGGGGGCAUCCGUAUUUCAUUGUCAGAGGUGAAAUUCUUGGAUUUAUGAAAGACGAACUUCUGCGAAAGCAUUUGCCAAGGAUGUUUUCAUUAAUCAAGAACGAAAGUUGGGGGCUCGAAGAUGAUCAGAUACCAUCCUAGUCUCAACCAUAAACGAUGCCGACUAGGGAUUGGCGGAUGUUCCUUAGAUGACUCCGCCAGCACCUUAUGAGAAAUCAUUAAGUUUUUGGGUUCCGGGGGGAGUAUGGUCUCCAAGGUGAGGCCUAGAGGAAUUGACGCAAG
Molecule: ribosomal RNA, 534 nt
Filed under: Prasinoderma coloniale
Lineage: Eukaryota; Viridiplantae; Prasinodermophyta; Prasinodermophyceae; Prasinodermales; Prasinodermaceae
Description: SSU rRNA
Rfam family: Eukaryotic small subunit ribosomal RNA
Source: RNAcentral